RNAcentral lists this ribosomal RNA (375 nucleotides) under Streptococcus mutans. Its description in RNAcentral is "bacterial SSU rRNA". It matches the Rfam family "Bacterial small subunit ribosomal RNA", at positions 28 to 385 of the family's 1533-position model. Lineage: Bacteria; Bacillati; Bacillota; Bacilli; Lactobacillales; Streptococcaceae. The record is from RNAcentral.
GACGAACGCUGGCGGCGUGCCUAAUACAUGCAAGUGGGACGCAAAGAAACACACUGUGCUUGCACACCGUGUUUUCUUGAGUCGCGAACGGGUGAGUAACGCGUAGGUAACCUGCCUAUUAGCGGGGGAUAACUAUUGGAAACGAUAGCUAAUACCGCAUAAUAUUAAUUAUUGCAUGAUAAUUGAUUGAAAGAUGCAAGCGCAUCACUAGUAGAUGGACCUGCGUUGUAUUAGCUAGUUGGUAAGGUAAGAGCUUACCAAGGCGACGAUACAUAGCCGACCUGAGAGGGUGAUCGGCCACACUGGGACUGAGACACGGCCCAGACUCCUACGGGAGGCAGCAGUAGGGAAUCUUCGGCAAUGGACGAAAGUCUG